RNAcentral lists this long non-coding RNA (215 nucleotides) under Nicotiana benthamiana. RNAcentral's name for it is "long non-coding RNA (NBEN_LNC034510)". Lineage: Eukaryota; Viridiplantae; Streptophyta; Magnoliopsida; Solanales; Solanaceae. The record is from RNAcentral.
UUAAUAAUUGAAAAAAUGACCUCCACGCGCCCAACACUUUCGUAAAAAACACGCAUAUGACACAUCAAUAACGAGUGUUUACUUGAAAUACUUAACAGUCACUUGAAGUAUCUAAAUUCUAAAGGAGUCUAUUAAGGUGUUCAGCUGGUCGUUGACAAUAACUUCAAGGGGUUGUUUAUGUAUUAUGCCUUUUGUAGAAGAAAUGUUAUUUGAAA